This is a long non-coding RNA of Papaver somniferum (opium poppy), 357 nucleotides long. RefSeq lists it as uncharacterized. NCBI's taxonomy places the organism in Eukaryota, Viridiplantae, Streptophyta, Magnoliopsida, Ranunculales, Papaveraceae. The transcript has 3 exons. The record is from RefSeq and is a predicted model, not a curated record.
CAAAAACUUUGCUCUCCUUCAAGCAGCUCAGUCUGUACGCCCUCGCAUCCAUGCCUACAGAUAAAACAAACAUGAUACUGAAUUAUGUAUGAAAAUACAUUUGAAGGAGAACCUGGUGUUUUUUCUAGAGGCAGCUCAGCUAUUGGGCCAAUAAGUGCUAAUUACUCAGUGGAUGGGCCAUAAUUCAGUGACACACUGAUUGCACCACUCUAAACUUUUCAUAUGAAGAAGCGAGAAAGAACAGUAACAUUACCUGCACCAAGUAGAACAACUUGGGUGUCUUCGCCGUUGAAGGAUUUGAGAGCUGCUUCAAUCUUUGAAUCAAACCAUAACGUGCGGACAGCAAGAAUCACUCCA